Molecule: ribosomal RNA, 2181 nt
Filed under: Listeria monocytogenes
Lineage: Bacteria; Bacillati; Bacillota; Bacilli; Caryophanales; Listeriaceae
Description: partial 23S ribosomal RNA
Rfam family: Bacterial large subunit ribosomal RNA
Source: RNAcentral
CUGAAUAGGGCGCAUAAGUAACAGGUCGUAGACCCGAAACCAGGUGAUCUACCCAUGUCCAGGAUGAAGGUAAGGUAAUACUUACUGGAGGUCCGAACCCACGCACGUUGAAAAGUGCGGGGAUGAGGUGUGGGUAGCGGAGAAAUUCCAAUCGAACUUGGAGAUAGCUGGUUCUCUCCGAAAUAGCUUUAGGGCUAGCCUCGAGGUAAAGAGUCAUGGAGGUAGAGCACUGUUUGGACUAGGGGCCCUUCUCGGGUUACCGAAUUCAGAUAAACUCCGAAUGCCAUGUACUUAUACUCGGGAGUCAGACUGCGAGUGAUAAGAUCCGUAGUCGAAAGGGAAACAGCCCAGACCACCAGUUAAGGUCCCCAAAUAUAUGUUAAGUGGAAAAGGAUGUGGGGUUGCUUAGACAACCAGGAUGUUGGCUUAGAAGCAGCCACCAUUGAAAGAGUGCGUAAUAGCUCACUGGUCGAGUGACCCCGCGCCGAAAAUGUACCGGGGCUAAACAUAUUACCGAAACUGUGGAUGAACCUCUUUAGAGGUUCGUGGUAGGAGAGCGUUCUAAGGGCGGUGAAGUCAGACCGGAAGGACUGGUGGAGCGCUUAGAAGUGAGAAUGCCGGUAUGAGUAGCGAAAGAAGGGUGAGAAUCCCUUCCACCGAAUAUCUAAGGUUUCCUGAGGAAGGCUCGUCCGCUCAGGGUUAGUCGGGACCUAAGCCGAGGCCGAUAGGCGUAGGCGAUGGACAACAGGUAGAGAUUCCUGUACCAGUGCUAAUUGUUUAACCGAUGGGGUGACACAGAAGGAUAGGGAAUCGCACGAAUGGAAAUGUGCGUCCAAGCAGUGAGUGUGAGAAGUAGGCAAAUCCGCUUCUCGCGAAGCAUGAGCUGUGAUGGGGAAGGAAAUUAAGUACGGAAGUUCCUGAUUUCACGCUGUCAAGAAAAGCCUCUAGGAAGAGUAGUACUGCCCGUACCGCAAACCGACACAGGUAGAUGAGGAGAGAAUCCUAAGGUGAGCGAGAGAACUCUCGUUAAGGAACUCGGCAAAAUGACCCCGUAACUUCGGGAGAAGGGGUGCUCUAUUAGGGUGCAAGCCCGAGAGAGCCGCAGUGAAUAGGCCCAGGCGACUGUUUAGCAAAAACACAGGUCUCUGCAAAACCGUAAGGUGACGUAUAGGGGCUGACGCCUGCCCGGUGCUGGAAGGUUAAGAGGAGUGCUUAGCUUCGGCGAAGGUACGAAUUGAAGCCCCAGUAAACGGCGGCCGUAACUAUAACGGUCCUAAGGUAGCGAAAUUCCUUGUCGGGUAAGUUCCGACCCGCACGAAAGGCGCAACGAUCUGGGCACUGUCUCAACGAGAGACUCGGUGAAAUUAUAGUACCUGUGAAGAUGCAGGUUACCCGCGACAGGACGGAAAGACCCCGUGGAGCUUUACUGCAACCUGAUAUGGAAUGUUUGUACCGCUUGUACAGGAUAGGUAGGAGCCGAAGAGACGUGUGCGCUAGCAUACGAGGAGGCAAUGGUGGGAUACUACCCUGGCUGUAUGACCAUUCUAACCCGCCACGCUUAGCGCGUGGGGAGACAGUGUCAGGUGGGCAGUUUGACUGGGGCGGUCGCCUCCUAAAGAGUAACGGAGGCGCCCAAAGGUUCCCUCAGAAUGGAUGGAAAUCAUUCGCAGAGUGUAAAGGCACAAGGGAGCUUGACUGCGAGACUGACAAGUCGAGCAGGGACGAAAGUCGGGCUUAGUGAUCCGGUGGUUCCGCAUGGAAGGGCCAUCGCUCAACGGAUAAAAGCUACCCCGGGGAUAACAGGCUUAUCUCCCCCAAGAGUCCACAUCGACGGGGAGGUUUGGCACCUCGAUGUCGGCUCGUCGCAUCCUGGGGCUGUAGUCGGUCCCAAGGGUUGGGCUGUUCGCCCAUUAAAGCGGCACGCGAGCUGGGUUCAGAACGUCGUGAGACAGUUCGGUCCCUAUCCGUCGCGGGCGCAGGAAAUUUGAGAGGAGCUGUCCUUAGUACGAGAGGACCGGGAUGGACACACCGCUGGUGUACCAGUUGUUCCGCCAGGAGCAUCGCUGGGUAGCUAUGUGUGGCAGGGAUAAACGCUGAAAGCAUCUAAGCGUGAAGCCCCCCUCAAGAUGAGAUUUCCCAUUUCUUCGGAAAGUAAGAUCCCUGAAAGAUGAUCAGGUAGAU